RNAcentral lists this ribosomal RNA (505 nucleotides) under uncultured bacterium. RNAcentral describes it as "partial 16S ribosomal RNA". It matches the Rfam family "Bacterial small subunit ribosomal RNA", at positions 28 to 507 of the family's 1533-position model. The record is from RNAcentral.
GACGAACGCUGGCGGCGUGCCUAAUACAUGCAAGUAGAACGCACAGUUUAUACCGUAGCUUGCUACACCAUAGACUGUGAGUUGCGAACGGGUGAGUAACGCGUAGGUAACCUGCCUGGUAGCGGGGGAUAACUAUUGGAAACGAUAGCUAAUACCGCAUAAUAUUGAUUAUUGCAUGAUAAUUAAUUGAAAGGUGCAAUUGCACCACUACCAGAUGGACCUGCGGUGUAUUAGCUAGUAGGUGAGGUAACGGCUCACCUAGGCGACGAUACAUAGCCGACCUGAGAGGGUGAUCGGCCACACUGGGACUGAGACACGGCCCAGACUCCUACGGGAGGCAGCAGUAGGGAAUCUUCGGCAAUGGACGAAAGUCUGACCGAGCAACGCCGCGUGAGUGAAGAAGGUUUUCGGAUCGUAAAGCUCUGUUGUAAGAGAAGAACGGGUGUGAGAGUGGAAAGUUCACACUGUGACGGUAUCUUACCAGAAAGGGACGGCUAACUACGUG